This 346-nucleotide long non-coding RNA is filed under the name Nicotiana benthamiana. RNAcentral describes it as "long non-coding RNA (NBEN_LNC001973)". Lineage: Eukaryota; Viridiplantae; Streptophyta; Magnoliopsida; Solanales; Solanaceae. The record is from RNAcentral.
ACAAAGUUAACAGUGUGAGGGGGGAAAAAGAUGCAUCUGAAGGAACCUCGUGUGCAUACGAGACAAAUAGUUUAUUGUCCAAGUAAAAAGAUCAUAUUAUAAUUUCAUACAAUAAAAGAUAUAGUCAUGCACAGAAAAAGCGUUAUACUUUACAUCAGAGAGGGUCUUGAAGAAGUGGGCACUAAUUGACUAGAUUAUACUAUUUGAAUGCGGUCCACAUUAUGCAGUCUCUUUCCAAGACCAAUUUCCUUGUCAAAUAAAAACUGGAGUCACAGGUACAAUCUAGUAGCAAAUAUCUUAGAAUUGACCAGUUGAAGUUCUUUAUAGUGGUCCGUAAAACUACUUC